This 253-nucleotide ribosomal RNA is filed under the name uncultured bacterium. RNAcentral's name for it is "partial 16S ribosomal RNA". It matches the Rfam family "Bacterial small subunit ribosomal RNA", at positions 524 to 776 of the family's 1533-position model. The record is from RNAcentral.
GACGUAGGGCGCGAGCGUUGUCCGGAUUUAUUGGGCGUAAAGAGCUCGUAGGCGGCUUGUUGCGUCGACUGUGAAAACCCGCGGCUUAACCGCGGGCUUGCAGUUGAUACGGGCAGGCUAGAGUUCGGUAGGGGAGACUGGAAUUCCUGGUGUAGCGGUGAAAUGCGUAGAUAUCGAGAGGAACACCUGCGGCGAAGGCGGGUUGCUGGGCUGACACUGACGCUGAGGCGCGAAAGCUAGGGGAGCGAACGGG